Molecule: ribosomal RNA, 700 nt
Filed under: Pseudomonas luteola
Lineage: Bacteria; Pseudomonadati; Pseudomonadota; Gammaproteobacteria; Pseudomonadales; Pseudomonadaceae
Description: bacterial SSU rRNA
Rfam family: Bacterial small subunit ribosomal RNA
Source: RNAcentral
CUGAAAUGCGCAGCUACACAUGCAGUCGAGCGGAUGAGGAGAGCUUGCUCCUCUAGAUUCAGCGGCGGACGGGUGAGUAAUGCCUAGGAAUCUGCCUGGUAGUGGGGGACAACGUUUCGAAAGGAACGCUAAUACCGCAUACGUCCUACGGGAGAAAGUGGGGGAUCUUCGGACCUCACGCUAUCAGAUGAGCCUAGGUCGGAUUAGCUAGUUGGUGGGGUAACGGCUCACCAAGGCGACGAUCCGUAACUGGUCUGAGAGGAUGAUCAGUCACACUGGAACUGAGACACGGUCCAGACUCCUACGGGAGGCAGCAGUGGGGAAUAUUGGACAAUGGGCGAAAGCCUGAUCCAGCCAUGCCGCGUGUGUGAAGAAGGCCCUCGGGUCGUAAAGCACUUUAAGCUGGGAGGAAGGGUUGUAACCUAAUACGUUGCAGCUUUGACGUUACCAGCAGAAUAAGCACCGGCUAACUCUGUGCCAGCAGCCGCGGUAAUACAGAGGGUGCAAGCGUUAAUCGGAAUUACUGGGCGUAAAGCGCGCGUAGGUGGCUUGGUAAGUUGAAUGUGAAAUCCCCGGGCUCAACCUGGGAACUGCAUCCAAAACUGCCUGGCUAGAGUACGGUAGAGGGUGGUGGAAUUUCCUGUGUAGCGGUGAAAUGCGUAGAUAUAGGAAGGAACACCAGUGGCGAAGGCGACCACCU